This 486-nucleotide ribosomal RNA is filed under the name uncultured bacterium. RNAcentral describes it as "partial 16S ribosomal RNA". It matches the Rfam family "Bacterial small subunit ribosomal RNA", at positions 30 to 507 of the family's 1533-position model. The record is from RNAcentral.
AUUGAACGCUGGCGGCAUGCCUUACACAUGCGAGUCGAACGGCAGCACGGGUGCUUGCCCCUGGUGGCGAGUGGCGAACGGGUGAGUAAUACAUCGGAACAUGUCCUGUAGUGGGGGAUAGCCCGGCGAAAGCCGGAUUAAUACCGCAUACGAUCUACGGAUGAAAGCGGGGGACCUUCGGGCCUCGCGCUAUAGGGUUGGCCGAUAGCUGAUUAGCUAGUUGGUGGGGUAAAGGCCUACCAAGGCGACGAUCAGUAGCUGGUCUGAGAGGACGACCAGCCACACUGGGACUGAGACACGGCCCAGACUCCUACGGGAGGCAGCAGUGGGGAAUUUUGGACAAUGGGCGAAAGCCUGAUCCAGCAAUGCCGCGUGUGUGAAGAAGGCCUUCGGGUUGUAAAGCACUUUUGUCCGGAAAGAAAUCCUUGGCUCUAAUACAGUCGGGGGAUGACGGUACCGGAAGAAUAAGCACCGGCUAACUACGUG